RNA transcript from Solea solea (common sole), 2933 nucleotides. RefSeq lists it as uncharacterized. Lineage: Eukaryota; Metazoa; Chordata; Actinopteri; Pleuronectiformes; Soleidae. The record is from RefSeq and is a predicted model, not a curated record. The transcript has 13 exons.
GUCUUCAAGCUCGACACAACCAACAUUCCAGGACAGAAUCGCUUUGAACUUGAAAGGAUUUGAUAUGGAGGUAAGCAGUAAAACACCAGAGAAGAACAAAAUCAGCAGCACGCGAUGUGACUUUAGUCCAUCUUUAGAGUCAUGUCCUGGCUUUUGUACAUAUAUGUUCAGGCUGGGGACAGACAUAGGAAACUCAUCCCAGACCAUGGAUAUCUGUGAUGAUGUGGAACCUUUUAGUCAAACUCUGUUGACGGUUGACUAUGGGGUGCUCUGUGAAAUUUUGGGAGGAUCCCCCAACCCUUCAUCCCCGGCUGUCCCUCCCGCAAGAGGGUUCAACAGCAAACUCCAGGCGAUGGAGAGUGGAGGUGCUCAAACCCUGUGCCAACAACCACUGCAUAGUCAAACUAUUGUGCAGUCAAGGAGUCACCAAAAUGGACAGGCAGGUGCUCACAGUCAGGGACAGGACCUGGGCACAGCACAUCAGAGUCUGAGCAGACUAGAGACCGAGCUGAGAGCGUCAAUGCAGUCCAUGGAUCCACGUAAUGAUUUGGAGCUCAUUAUUCAGAGGAUGUCAGGGGGAGAGUUGCCGGACAUCGACUUUGAGGUGCUCCAUAAAAUUUUGGGAGACUCACCAAACCCUCUACAUCCUCUGAAUGUCCCUGCGAUGAUGGGGUUCAGCACCCAAUCUCAGGGAGUGGGAAGUGGGAGCAGAGGGAGCAGCAAACCACAAGGAGCAGAUCCAUCCAGCCUCCAUCAACCGUCAAUGACGGCUGCUGGACAGGCUGCUUCCACUCUGAGCCAACGCUUGCUGCAUAAUCAAAUUAUGAUGCAGUCAAGGGGUCACCAAAAUGGCCAGGCAGAUGCUUACGGCCAGGGACAGGAGCACAGCACAGCAAAUCAGAACAGAGUAGAAAGAGAGCUACACGCGUCAAUGCAGGUGAUGGAUCUGAGUGAGGAUUUGGAACUCAUCUCUCAGAGGAUUUUGAAAGGAGAGUUGCCAGACAUUGACAUUAAAGUGCUCCGUAAAAUUCUGGGAGAAUCACCCAACCCUCUACCUCCUCCUAAUGUUCCUGCUGCAACAACACUGGGAGCAGCUCCAUCCAGUCUUCAUCAACCAUUAAUGUCUGCUGCUGAACAGGCUGCUUCCACUCUGUGCCAACAACUGCUGCACAGUCGAGCUGCCGUGCAGUCAGGGGGUCACCAAAAUGGCCAGGCACAGGACCUGACCGAGGCAAAUAGGAGUUUGACCAAACUAGAGAAAGAGUUGGGAGCAUCCCUGCAGGGGAUGGAUCUGCGUGAGGAUAUGGAGCUCAUCACUCCGAUGAUGCUGAAAGUAGAGAUGCCAGACAUCGACUUCGACGUCCUCCGUACAAUUUUGGAAGAAUCACCCAACCCUCUAGCUCCUCCCAACGUUCCUGCUGCGACAGGGUCGAACAGCCAACAUAAGGCAGUGAGAAGUGGGAGCAGUGGGAGCACACCACUGGGAGCAGCUUCACCCAGCUUCCACCAGCCAUUAAUGUCUGCUGCUGAACAGGCUGCUUCCACUUUGUGCCAACAACUGCUGCACAGUCAAGCCAUCCUGCAGUCAAGAGUUCACCAAAAUGGCCAAACAGGUUCCCACAGCCUGGGACAGGACCUGGGCACAACACAUCCGACUCUGAGCAGACUGGAGACAGAGUUAGGAGCAUCAAUGCAAGCGAUGGAUCUACACGAAGAUUUAGAACUCAUCACUCAUAGGAUUUUGAAAGGAGAGUUGCCGGAUGUUGAUUUUGAGGUGCUCCGUAAAAUUCUGGGAGAAUCGCCCAACCCUCUACCUCCUCCUAAUAUUCCUGCUGAGACAGGGUUCAACAGCCAACCUCAGUCAGUGGGAAGUGAAAGUACUGGGAGCAAAACACUGGGAGCAGCUUCAUCCAGCCUCUAUCAGCCAUUAAUGUGUGAUGCGGAACAGGCUGCUUCAAAUUUGUGCCAACAACCGCUGCAUAUACAAACUAUUAUGCAGUCAGGGGGUCAUCAAAAUGGCCAGGCAGGUGCUCACGGCCAGGGACAGUUCCUGCCAUAUCAGCAUCCUGUUUACCACCCUCCAGGAAUAGAUCCCUCAUUCCUUUCAUUAAGGCUAAAUAACGGGGUCUUGCAAAUGCCUGCAAUUGGAGUCGUAAAUGGAGAGGUGGUCUAUGGGGUUCCACCAGAUGUAAAAUUAACAAGUUAUGUGAACCUUUUGCCGCCGUCCCAGAACAACAUCAUGGCAAAUAAGCGAAGGUGUGGGAGCAGUGAGGACGACGGGCGGCCAUACGUUAAGAAGCCGCCUAACGCUUUCAUGCUGUUUAUGAGGGAAAACAGGGCAAAGGUCGCCGCUAAUCACAGUGCAGCCGCCAAUUCCCUCCUCGGACAAAUGUGGAAGUCGAUAUCAAAAGAGGACCGAGUCAAAUAUAAAGAAAAGGCAGAAAAGGAGAAGCUGCUCCACAUAAUGCGGUUUCCCGACUGGUCGUGCAAAGACAACUACGGAAAGAAGAGAAGGAGGAUCAGGAAGAAGCUUCCCAACAUAACUAUAGACAUGAGCUGGACUUUCACCAAAAGGGGGAGCCUCUCAGUAAAAUUGCGGGUACAUCGGUUGUGAUGAGAGUGUCCUGCAGCUCAGUGUGUCUGUGGAGAGGAGAGACAACAGCUGCAAGCAACUUUUUGGACGACCCUCCAUUUGAGAAAGGCCGCGUCACCAUCAGACCCUGACAUCAACCAGACGGUGGUUAUGGACACUUCUGCCCCAGACCUCAGUGACGACACAAGUGUGUAGUGAGGGGUCCAUCAAAACAGAAAUACAGCACUUUUUGGGGCCAGAUGGUUCAGACCGGGUUCAGACUAAUAUCCACAAAUGAUUUGUCGAGCUCGGGGUUUGGCUUGGACGUGACAAUGUUCAAAUUUUUUUUUUUUUUUUUUAA